CUCUCAUGGUCUACUGAACUUUCCCAUUGCAUCACCUUGCCUAGGAGGCUUUAUGGCCACUUGGCCUAAUUGACAAUUUCUAUGCAAAAAAGGGAAGAGGCAAACACUGAAAACUCCUUGAAAGAAAUCAGGAAGUAGGUAAUGAGUCUGCCCUACCAAUAGUGAAGACAUCUGUGGAAGCUUUUUGUUUUUAGAUAAAAAGAGCAGUAUUAUUGCCAGGACUGUCAGUUUCACUCACUUUGAUUUUCUGAGAAAUAAGAGGCAUUUUGCUGACAAUAAGACAGGGUCAGGUGUGUUCAUGACAGCAUCUGGCAGAGGAUGGCCGA
Molecule: long non-coding RNA, 326 nt
Filed under: Fukomys damarensis (Damara mole-rat)
Lineage: Eukaryota; Metazoa; Chordata; Mammalia; Rodentia; Bathyergidae
Description: lncRNA (ENSFDAG00000032918.1)
Source: RNAcentral